Molecule: transfer RNA, 64 nt
Organism: Cavia porcellus (domestic guinea pig)
Lineage: Eukaryota; Metazoa; Chordata; Mammalia; Rodentia; Caviidae
Rfam family: tRNA
About the family: Transfer RNA (tRNA) molecules are approximately 80 nucleotides in length.
Source: Rfam
GGGGAUUUAGCUCAGCGGCAUAAGCGCCUGCCUUGCAAGCAGGCAGUUGUGAGUUCGAUCCCCG